GCGUCACCACACACCUCCCCUGAUUUUUGAGACUGUUUUAUAAUGCCAGAUUAGCUCGUUUUUAUUUAUUUAUAAAAACGUGCCAUGCAUAAUGCUAAGUUAAUAAAUAGGUGUAAGAAAUUCACACAUGGACACGAAAGCUUCAUUUUUUUCAUGGAUUGUUUGACUAAAAGUUGACAAGCAAGCUUGCUUAGUUUAGUUGUUAUAUUCUGGAAGGAAAAGUUGUUAAACUUUAAUUCAUUUCACUAUAGCUUCUGUUUGUGGUAUGUAGGGCGCAGGCGGGGCCGUUCAUGCUAUCAUUUUGCUUGACAUAUUCCUCUUCCCGACUCGGGGGUUGUUCCUGGGGAUCUUUCUAAUUGGGAAAGAUAUCUGGAGGAUAAUACUGGGAGACGAACAAAUCUCAGGGGCUACACAAUUGGGAGGUGCUGCAGUUGCAGCCUUGGCCUGGUCACAACUUCGAAAGGGGCGAUUCUGAAUUUCGUAACGGCGGAUUACAUACAGAACACUUUAAAACUAAGAUGGUCCCGUUCCCCAAAUAUUGCUUGUAUUUUAUUUUAUUUUUAAAGAUAGUCCAGCAUGGUAACUAUUAGUCAGUGCGUUGCAGCUAGUUUUCUCCUGAUUUAAACUCCCAGAUCAUCCCUUAUCUCGGACCCCCGUUUACAUUGGAUGCCCACCUCAAAUUUUCACAGCUGUUUGUUGUUCUGAUCAAACAAUAUUACAGAAGUGAAAAAUAUUUAUAAA
Molecule: non-coding RNA, 741 nt
Organism: Prunus avium (sweet cherry)
Lineage: Eukaryota; Viridiplantae; Streptophyta; Magnoliopsida; Rosales; Rosaceae
Source: RefSeq, a predicted model, not a curated record